RNAcentral lists this transfer RNA (88 nucleotides) under Candidatus Mancarchaeum acidiphilum. RNAcentral describes it as "Candidatus Micrarchaeota archaeon Mia14 tRNA". It matches the Rfam family "tRNA". From Rfam's summary of the family: Transfer RNA (tRNA) molecules are approximately 80 nucleotides in length. Their secondary structure includes four short double-helical elements and three loops (D, anti-codon, and T loops). Further hydrogen bonds mediate the characteristic L-shaped molecular structure. tRNAs have two regions of fundamental functional importance: the anti-codon, which is responsible for specific mRNA codon recognition, and the 3' end, to which the tRNAs corresponding amino acid is attached (by aminoacyl-tRNA synthetases). tRNAs cope with the degeneracy of the genetic code in two manners: having more than one tRNA (with a specific anti-codon) for a particular amino acid; and 'wobble' base-pairing, i.e. permitting non-standard base-pairing at the 3rd anti-codon position. The record is from Rfam by way of RNAcentral. Lineage: Archaea; Nanobdellati; Microcaldota.
GGGCUUGUAGCUCAGCUUGGUCAGAGCGGCGGUCUUAUAAUACCAAUAAGAAAGCCGUAGGUCGAGAGUUCAAAUCUCUCCAGGCCCA